GCUUCUAUGGUGAAGUCACAUAAUUGACUUCUUUGAUGAAGUUGCUGAUCUGGCCCAAUAAGAAAGCAAUGUUGACUUAGUCAGUGCCACAUAAAAUUAUACAGUACACAUAUUUACUAUGUAUCUCUAUGUACCCUCAUAGAUCAAGUGAGUGUUAACCGUUUGAUUUAUGACAUGUGGCAUAAUACUAGAAGAGAUUAAAACAUCAAAAUUAUUAUUUAUUCAACAAAAAAAAAGAACAUAAUAUUAAAGAAAAAAUAUACAAC
This 266-nucleotide long non-coding RNA is filed under the name Trifolium pratense (red clover). RNAcentral describes it as "long non-coding RNA (TPRA_LNC011922)". Lineage: Eukaryota; Viridiplantae; Streptophyta; Magnoliopsida; Fabales; Fabaceae. The record is from RNAcentral.